RNAcentral lists this ribosomal RNA (429 nucleotides) under Bacteroidota bacterium. RNAcentral's name for it is "Bacteroidetes bacterium partial 16S ribosomal RNA". It matches the Rfam family "Bacterial small subunit ribosomal RNA", at positions 355 to 776 of the family's 1533-position model. The record is from RNAcentral. Lineage: Bacteria; Pseudomonadati; Bacteroidota.
UAGGGAAUCUUCGGCAAUGGGGGGAACCCUGACCGAGCAACGCCGCGUGAGUGAAGAAGGUUUUCGGAUCGUAAAGCUCUGUUGUUAAGGAAGAACGAGUGUGAGAAUGGAAAGUUCAUACUGUGACGGUACUUAACCAGAAAGGGACGGCUAACUACGUGCCAGCAGCCGCGGUAAUACGUAGGUCCCGAGCGUUGUCCGGAUUUAUUGGGCGUAAAGCGAGCGCAGGCGGUUAGAUAAGUCUGAAGUUAAAGGCAGUGGCUCAACCAUUGUAGGCUUUGGAAACUGUUUAACUUGAGUGCAGAAGGGGAGAGUGGAAUUCCAUGUGUAGCGGUGAAAUGCGUAGAUAUAUGGAGGAACACCGGUGGCGAAAGCGGCACUCUGGUCUGUAACUGACGCGGAGGCUCGAAAGCGUGGGGAGCGAACAGG